Molecule: ribosomal RNA, 483 nt
Filed under: uncultured bacterium
Lineage: Bacteria
Description: partial 16S ribosomal RNA
Rfam family: Bacterial small subunit ribosomal RNA
Source: RNAcentral
AUUGAACGCUGGCGGCAGGCCUAACACAUGCGAGUCGAGCGGAUGAAGGGAGCUUGCUCCUGGAUUCAGCGGCGGACGGGUGAGUAAUGCCUAGGAAUCUGCCUGGUAGUGGGGGAUAACGUCCGGAAACGGGCGCUAAUACCGCAUACGUCCUGAGGGAGAAAGUGGGGGAUCUUCGGACCUCACGCUAUCAGAUGAGCCUAGGUCGGAUUAGCUAGUUGGUGGGGUAAAGGCCUACCAAGGCGACGAUCCGUAACUGGUCUGGGAGGAUGAUCAGUCACACUGGAACUGAGACACGGUCCAGACUCCUACGGGAGGCAGCAGUGGGGAAUAUUGGACAAUGGGCGAAAGCCUGAUCCAGCCAUGCCGCGUGUGAAGAAGGUCUUCGGAUUGUAAAGCACUUUAAGUUGGGAGGAAGGGCAGUAAGUUAAUACCUUGCUGUUUUGACGUUACCAACAGAAUAAGCACCGGCUAACUUCGUGC